This 425-nucleotide ribosomal RNA is filed under the name uncultured bacterium. Its description in RNAcentral is "bacterial SSU rRNA". It matches the Rfam family "Bacterial small subunit ribosomal RNA", at positions 356 to 773 of the family's 1533-position model. The record is from RNAcentral.
GGGGAAUUUUGGACAAUGGGCGCAAGCCUGAUCCAGCAAUGCCGCGUGCAGGAUGAAGGCCUUCGGGUUGUAAACUGCUUUUGUACGGAACGAAAAGGCUCUGGUUAAUACCUGGGGCUCAUGACGGUACCGUAAGAAUAAGCACCGGCUAACUACGUGCCAGCAGCCGCGGUAAUACGUAGGGUGCAAGCGUUAAUCGGAAUUACUGGGCGUAAAGCGUGCGCAGGCGGUUAUAUAAGUCAGAUGUGAAAUCCCCGGGCUCAACCUGGGACCUGCAUUUGAGACUGUAUAGCUAGAGUACGGUAGAGGGGGAUGGAAUUCCGCGUGUAGCAGUGAAAUGCGUAGAUAUGCGGAGGAACACCGAUGGCGAAGGCAAUCCCCUGGACCUGUACUGACGCUCAUGCACGAAAGCGUGGGGAGCAAAC